GAAAUGCGAUAAGUAGUGUGAAUUGCAGAAUUCAGUGAUUCAUCGAAUCUUUGAACGCACAUUGCGCCCCUUGGUAUUCCAUGGGGCAUGCCUGUUCGAGCGUCAUUUGUACCUUCAAGCUCUGCUUGGUGUUGGGUGUUUGUCUCGCCUCUGCGCGCAGACUCGCCUCAAAACAAUUGGCAGCCGGCGUAUUGAUUUCGGAGCGCAGUACAUCUCGCGCUUUGCACUCAGAACGACGACGUCCAAAAGUACAUUUUUUACACUCUUGACCUCGGAUCAGGUAGGGAUACCCGCUGAACUUAAGC
Molecule: unclassified non-coding RNA, 305 nt
Filed under: plant metagenome
Description: partial contains 5.8S ribosomal RNA, internal transcribed spacer 2, and large subunit ribosomal RNA
Rfam family: 5.8S ribosomal RNA (bases 1-105)
Source: RNAcentral